RNAcentral lists this ribosomal RNA (294 nucleotides) under uncultured Sphingomonas sp. RNAcentral's name for it is "partial 16S ribosomal RNA". It matches the Rfam family "Bacterial small subunit ribosomal RNA", at positions 38 to 359 of the family's 1533-position model. The record is from RNAcentral. Lineage: Bacteria; Pseudomonadati; Pseudomonadota; Alphaproteobacteria; Sphingomonadales; Sphingomonadaceae.
GGCGGCAUGCCUAACACAUGCAAGUCGAACGAAGGCUUCGGCCUUAGUGGCGCACGGGUGCGUAACGCGUGGGAAUCUGCCCUUAGGUUCGGAAUAACAGCUGGAAACNGGCUGCUAAUACCGGAUGAUAUCGCGAGAUCAAAGAUUUAUCGCCUGAGGAUGAGCCCGCGUUGGAUUAGGUAGUUGGUGGGGUAAAGGCCUACCAAGCCGACGAUCCAUAGCUGGUCUGAGAGGAUGAUCAGCCACACUGGGACUGAGACACGGCCCAGACUCCUACGGGAGGCAGCAGAAGGG